GACGAACGCUGGCGGCGUGCUUAACACAUGCAAGUCGAACGGAAAGGCCUUUUCGGAGGUACUCGAGUGGCGAACGGGUGAGUAACACGUGGGUGAUCUGCCCUGCACUCUGGGAUAAGCCUGGGAAACUGGGUCUAAUACCGGAUAGGACCGCACUUUAGUGUGUGUGGUGGAAAGUUUUUUCGGUGUAGGAUGAGCCCGCGGCCUAUCAGCUUGUUGGUGGGGUAAUGGCCUACCAAGGCGGCGACGGGUAGCCGGACUGAGAGGUUGGUCGGCCACAUUGGGACUGAGAUACGGCCCAGACUCCUACGGGAGGCAGCAGUGGGGAAUAUUGCACAAGGGGCGCAAGCCUGAUGCAGCGACGCCGCGGGGGGGAUGACGGCCUUCGGGUUGUAAACUCCUUUCGCCAGGGACGAAGCGUUUUGUGACGGUACCUGGAGAAGAAGCACCGGCUAACUACGUG
RNAcentral lists this ribosomal RNA (463 nucleotides) under uncultured bacterium. Its description in RNAcentral is "partial 16S ribosomal RNA". It matches the Rfam family "Bacterial small subunit ribosomal RNA", at positions 28 to 507 of the family's 1533-position model. The record is from RNAcentral.